UAAAAGAUAAGCUAAUAAAGCUACUGGGCUCAUACCUCAUUUAUAAAGGUUUAAUCCUUUUCUUUUUA
RNAcentral lists this transfer RNA (68 nucleotides) under Hamaxiella brunnescens. RNAcentral's name for it is "tRNA-Met". It matches the Rfam family "tRNA". Rfam says of the family: Transfer RNA (tRNA) molecules are approximately 80 nucleotides in length. The record is from RNAcentral. Lineage: Eukaryota; Metazoa; Arthropoda; Insecta; Diptera; Tachinidae.